AUGAAGCACUGUGCUGGUCCCGCAGUGAAGCCCUCCGUGUCUCUGCUGCCUCCCUCUUCUCUGCAGAUCUCUGGAGACUCAGCCGCACUGCUCUGUCUGCUCAGCUCUUACUCUCCACAGGGGGCGCAGGUGAGCUGGACGCUGGACGGGUCAGAGGUCACCGAGGGGGUUCAGACCAGCGCAGAGAGCGAGCGGGACGGACGCUACAGCCGCAGCAGCGUCCUGAGCCUCAGCAAAGCACGCUGGGAAGCCGGCGAGCGCUUCGUCUGCAGAGUAACACAUGACGGAGCUGAUCACGAGACCUCGUUCCUCAAGAGCUCCGAGUGCUGAUGUUUCUCCAGUGAAGAGCAGCAGGAUUCACAGCAGUCUCCUGAUUUACAGCUCAAUACUCAAGCAGUCUUUCAAUGUGCUGCCAUUGCUGUUCAUUCAAUAAAGCUUCUGAACGCCUUA
Non-coding RNA from Carassius carassius (crucian carp), 450 nucleotides. The record is from the annotation of a RefSeq genome assembly. NCBI's taxonomy places the organism in Eukaryota, Metazoa, Chordata, Actinopteri, Cypriniformes, Cyprinidae.